Molecule: non-coding RNA, 3042 nt
Organism: Peromyscus maniculatus bairdii (prairie deer mouse)
Lineage: Eukaryota; Metazoa; Chordata; Mammalia; Rodentia; Cricetidae
Source: RefSeq, a predicted model, not a curated record
CUUAAGCCAGGCCUGAAAGAAUGCACAUCUGACAGCAGCCCCGAUCCGAUGCUCCCAAAUUGAAUGGCUCUCAGGAACUCUACCUCCUUGACCCCGAGAGUUAUUUUCAGAACACAAUGGAUGUUGAAUUCAUCUCUUCCUAUAAUAUGCGAUCCGAAUGUUGUUUUAACUUGCUUCCAGAGACUUUGCUUGCUAAAGUUAUAGUUUCUGCAAGCCUCAGAGUCUCCCAGGAUAAUGUGGGAGACUCAUCACUCCCAAGGUGUGAGAAACAAGUCCAGAAUGAACUUUAAUCAGUAUGACCUCUGAGGAAGAGUAGGAAAGAAGCUUGGAGAGGGACUCAUAGAAUCUCACAGCCUGAGUCUCCUGAGAAUGUGCAAGUCUGUUUGGAAGCCAGGCUAAUCCUACCUUUCAAUUAUAGAAGGAAACGGAUUUUUUAAAAGAAAGACUCAAGGUGGGUCCUCUGAGCUUGAAGAUCAAACGCUCUGGUGCUUUCAACAAGCCAACGCUACUGCCCUUCUCAAAGCGGAGGCCAGCCGGGACUGCAGGGUUUGUAAACAUCGCUCUGCUAUUUAUUGGAGCUGCCCACCCGAAUCCAAACCUUCGUCUCUUCACGCGUGGCCUAUUUACUGCACUGCAAGUGAGCGUGCUGCAGCCCGGCCCGGGUCUGCAAUUUAUUACUUGCUUCGAGAGCUCAGACCCAGAGUUUAAAUGUCCCUAGUUGAAAGUUUAUACCAGUCAGGACAGAAAAUUAUUCUCUCUGCCUAGGUUGAAGCACAUUACUUCUUUAUUGAAUUAAUUAUGAUAAGGAUCAUAACUUUAAACGAGGGGUGAGGUGCUGGCUCUCCGCUGGGAUUGCUUGGAGCAAUUUUCAUCCAAGCAUUUUUGUAGAGUUAUUGAGUCUGGCAGGUCUGAACUUUGGAGAGAAGUAACUUUCUCCAGAACUUGAAAGGGGUUGGACAUUGAUCCAGGCAAAGCUGUACCAGAUUCCAUGUCUUGAGACAGGGAAAUUUGCACUGCACGCUGAACAAAUCACCGCGGGAGCGGAUGAAAGACAGCUUAGCGGCUCCUCAUGUGGCCUGAAGCUUGGCCUUUCCCGGGCAGACCUGGCCCAGGGAGGGCAAGGGACAAACCGGGACAGAAAGGUCUCCAGCAAGUCCGUCCUCCCCUCCCUCCCAGACAUCCAGUCCCAGCCUGCACUGGCAGGGUUACAUGAGUGGCGUACUGGAUUCUGACAGGAUGGGAGAAGGAAGCUGAGGCAUGGAGGAAUCAAGUAGCCCACUGAAGGAGGCCCCAUAUAGGCUCCUGAAGCCGAGAGGAACGGGACCAAGCUUUGUCAGUGGACAUGGCCCUCCCUAUAACUCACCCUCCACACACUAGCCAAGUCACCAUUCAGACCAUAGAUUCAACACUGUGGGUGCCCUCAGGUCUGGAGAUUCAGUGAGAUCUGAACCCCAUCCUGAAAGGAUUCUGUCUGGAUGGUGGUCCAAACAGCCAACACUGCCCCCACCUUCACCUUCAAGAGCAAGAGGCAGUACUGGCUGCUAGGGAGGCAUCUUCAGUGUUGGGAGUGUUCUUGAGGCUCUGGCCUUAUGCAGAGAAACAAAACCUUUGAGAUCUGGUUCUGCAAGUCCAACACCAGUGGUACUUGGUUCACUGGAAGCAGCAUACAGGACUCCUGUGAGUAUCAACACCUGAGGGCUUUCCUGCCUGCCACUAAUUGUCACAUAUGUGACAUCUGCCCAAUGGGGCUUCUGUGGGAUCACUAAGAUAGCUUUCUUCUCUCCCACUACAUGGGUAACCAGACAGUAAGGCAUGGUUUCAGUAUACACAGUGAUGGACAGUAACAAUAGAUGCAUGUCUACAAUCCAGGAUUCCUGUGUCUCACUUGGAGUUCUAGUCCUCCAGUCACACAGGUGGUACCAUCCAUCCUUCCCACCUGCCCCAUGCCAUCCCAUUAUCCUGCUACAUUUUAUUGUUGCUUAUGAUCGAGGACCAUGCAUUUCCAUCAACCAUGAGCUCUUUGAGGUUAGAGACUGUGUCUCUAGAGAGCCAUCAAUAUGGUGUAAAGUCUAAGUCAGCCAUGGGAAGACAGGACAGAGCUGUAAUCCAAUGAAACAUCUUCUAAUGCUCACCUCCCCUCUCCUAGCAAGCCCACAACUGCAGUGGCUGAUCCGACGGCCACCAGCACACAACACAAUCCAUGACAUCUUUAGGCAAAGGAAAUUGAAACCAACUAGCUUGGUUGGCAACUUUUUUUUUUUCUUUUCUUUUCUAAAGCAUCCCUCUGAACACGAGCAGGCAAAGCAGUCGCUUUAGAACCUGGAGAGCUGGAAUGCAUUUAAGGUCUCUGAGGUUGUCCAACCGGAACCUGCAUAUACAGAGACCCCACCUCAUUCUUGGGAUCUGACAAGCUGAUUGAGACCCUACAGGAAGAGUAACUGGCUGGUGAUUGCAGAUAUCCAGUGUCAGCUCAUUGUUGGGGAGGAAGCUGUCAGAACAGACCUCCCUGGAGAGUCUGGGGCACUCUGGUUCUUAUUUUCCCUUUGGAGCUGGGAGGAUGGUGGGGGCAGCAUCAAGGGGUCAUCGCCCUUUUCCUCACGCAACUGGACGUUCAAAAUCAGAUAUCACCAGCCCAGGGGCUCUACUCCUUGAGGGCUCAGACCAGGGGAGCAGAAUCCACCUAAUGCUAUUUUCUCGAAAGUUCCCUUAAAAACAUAUUUUAAAUUGCAUUAUGAUUUGACAUUGAAUGUGAGACCUAUCUCUCACAGCAUUUAAAGACUGCACAAAGCAGGAUGUCUGGCUGUGGGUGGGAUGCUGAGCAACAGACUCUAGAACUUUCUCACCUUGCUUACUUCAACUUCAUGUUCGGCCGGCCUGGUUCUCUGCACCCUGGAAACAUUGCUCCCCUCCAGUCACCAGGAAUCUGACUACUCCAAGCACUUUGCACACUGUGGGUUCAAUGUGUCCCCCAAAUUUCAUGUAUUGAAAACUUAAUUCCAAUGUGAGGCAGGAAGCUUUCCAGGAAAACUCCUAAUAUCGUUG